CGAAAUUUCCGAAAGGGGAGAUUCACGUCUUCUCGCGUGUCAGACGUCCCGCUCCUCGUGGACGGCUCUAUGCCUCAUUCGGAUUUAUUCGAAGCGAGUGGUGGAGUCGCCGAGGGUGGGUUUGGAUGAUCGCGGCGGACCGCACUUCUCCCCUAGUAGGACGUCGUGACCCGUCCGGCCAUGGUCUAAGGGUUAGGGUGGGAGCCUGUGUGAGCUGUUCGCAGUCUCGCGCAGCCCCCCUUUCCCCGACCAUGGAUUGCCCCGGUCGGUAUCGAAUGACGGUGUCGAACCGCUCCGCGAGGGGAGAAAUCCUCUUUCGAGAGCGCGAGGUGGUCCUCGACAAGGUUGCGAGUCGCGUGUCAAGGCGGGCUUCCGCCCGUCUGGCUGCUCCCGCUCCUGUUGGUCGGGUGUGCCCUUACGCAGGUUCAUACAAAUGGCACUAGUCUACGGCGAAUCAGUUUUGGGCUCUUGUCCUAACCCGUCUUGAAACACGGACCAAGGAGUUUAGCGUGUGCGCGAGUCAUUGGGUGUCAAAACCUAAAGGCGUAAUGAAAGUGAAGGAAACUUUGUUUUUGAGGGAGGAUGGGUUAGGUACCUUUUUUAAAGGACCGGCCUCGCACUCCCGGGGCGUCUCUAUCUCAUUGCGAGAGGAGGCGCACCUAGAGCGUACACGCUGAUACCCGAA
This 685-nucleotide ribosomal RNA is filed under the name Lygus lineolaris (tarnished plant bug). Its description in RNAcentral is "eukaryotic LSU rRNA". It matches the Rfam family "Eukaryotic large subunit ribosomal RNA", at positions 478 to 820 of the family's 3401-position model. The record is from RNAcentral. Lineage: Eukaryota; Metazoa; Arthropoda; Insecta; Hemiptera; Miridae.